AUUGAACGCUGGCGGCAGGCUUAACACAUGCAAGUCGAGCGAGCGGCGGACGGGUGAGAAAUGUCGGGGAAACUGCCUGAUGGAGGGGGAUAAAUACUGGAAACGGUAGCUAAUACCGCAUACCAUCAGAUGUGCCCAGAUGGGAUUAGCUAGUAGGUGGGGUAAAGUCUCACCUAGGCGACGAUCCCUAGCUGGUCUGAGAGGAUGACCAGCCACAGUCGAACUGAGACACGGUCCAGACUCCUACGGGAGGCAGCAGUGGGGAAGAUUGCACAAUGGGCGCAAGCCUGAUGCAGCCAUGCCGCGUGUAUGAAGAAGGCCUUCGGGUUGUAAAGUACUUUCAGCGGGGAGGCGUUACCCGCAGAAGAAGCACCGGCUAACUCCGUGCCAGCAGCCGCGGUAAUUC
RNAcentral lists this ribosomal RNA (406 nucleotides) under uncultured bacterium. Its description in RNAcentral is "partial 16S ribosomal RNA". It matches the Rfam family "Bacterial small subunit ribosomal RNA", at positions 30 to 526 of the family's 1533-position model. The record is from RNAcentral.